AUGGUCUUCAAGCUUGAUUUCAGGAAAGCUUUUGACUCCAUCUGCUGGUCCUCCCUCUUUCAAAUUCUACAAGCCCGAGGAUUCCCUCCAACUUUCUGCUCAUGGGUCCACGACAUUCUCUACACAGGGAAAAUGGCCAUCCUCCUCAAUGGCAUUCCGGGGCCCUGGAUCCAAUGUAGAUGUGGCCUACGACAAGGAGACCCCUUCUCGCCAUACUUGUUCAUCAUCGUCGCAGAUGUCCUUCAAAGAUAG
Molecule: ribosomal RNA, 252 nt
Filed under: Triticum aestivum (bread wheat)
Lineage: Eukaryota; Viridiplantae; Streptophyta; Magnoliopsida; Poales; Poaceae
Description: partial small subunit ribosomal RNA
Source: RNAcentral